UUUAAUUUUAAUAGAUUAGCAUUCGUGCAAUGUAGUGUUUUGUCUUUGAUAAAAAAAAAAUCUUUCUGUUUCAAGUUAUUUUGUUGGUAGAUGUUUGUUUGGGAGGAGGUAGACCAAUUGUUCUUAGUUAGAAUCGGAUGAUGGAUAAUGAAGUUAUUCUUGCUUUGGAUUUAAAAGAGACUAAUUACAAAAAAAAAAUGACCGAAUCCCUUUUUAUUGAUUAUCGAUUAUCGAAAUUUUUACAUAUAUUAUUAAUAAUGAUACCACAAUUUUUUUUAAAAAGUUUUUAUCAACAUCAAUAAUUUUUACCGAAUCUCUAGUCGUUCCACCACGAAAACAUCCUCCUUCACAACUUAUUUUUCAUCUUUUAUUUUUCUCCUUUACCACUUAUAUUUUGGUAUAGAAUAUCACACUCUUCCAUCUUUUAAACCAAAUUCUUCUUCAAAUGUUUAGGUGCUUGUCUAACACCAUCAAUACAAUUCACAACCAUUAUUAUGGAUACUUUGUAAAGGAGAGUUGGAGAGGUGUAGAUUAAGGGUAUUAAUGUAACUAGGAUGAAACCCGCGCUAUGCCGCGGGUAUGUUUUUGAAUGUAAUUUUUUAAAAUGAUAUGUACCUUAAGCAUCAAUAGAGAAUCAUUCUUGUCUGUUCCUAUCUUUUGGCAAGCUUAGAUGAGUUGACGUCGUUGAUGAUUCUCUAUGGAAUUCUUUUUCUUUUUUUUCAUGGAAGUUUGUAUUUCUUAUUUCAUGGCGAUGAUAGUGCGUCUCAUUCUGGUGUAUGUGCUAACUUUAUUUCCACAAUUCCACUUACAAAAGUUGGUAUCAGGAGAGUUUGUACAAAUAUUUGCAGGCUUUAUGAUAUUCUUCUCGAUUCUUGGUAAGCUUGUCUCUUAUAUAAAAAUCCAUUUAGAAUUGAAGUAGAUCCCAUUAAGUAAUCUUCUUAUAUAUAUCCAAUGCAGGGAAGUUUGGGGCAGUAUUCGCAUCAAUACGUGCUCCUAUAAACGCUGCCUUGUACUGUCUCUUCUUUGCCUAUAUAUGUAGCUCUUGAAAAAGUUUUCUAAAGAUCUGCCGUCUUGGAGAUAGUGAAAAAAGUUGGAUGGCACGGCUCCAGUUACGUCUUUGGUGUUUCUCUGUUCGUGGAGGAGACAAAGAUCAUGCAUGAGGUAAA
Molecule: long non-coding RNA, 1166 nt
Organism: Arabidopsis lyrata subsp. lyrata
Lineage: Eukaryota; Viridiplantae; Streptophyta; Magnoliopsida; Brassicales; Brassicaceae
Exons: 3
Source: RefSeq, a predicted model, not a curated record